This 6279-nucleotide long non-coding RNA is filed under the name Triticum aestivum (bread wheat). RNAcentral describes it as "long non-coding RNA (TAES_LNC016174)". The record is from RNAcentral. Lineage: Eukaryota; Viridiplantae; Streptophyta; Magnoliopsida; Poales; Poaceae.
UUGAAGGAAAUUCGAGAGAUUAUGUUGCUUAUAGACAUUAGCCCCCCUGGUAGGGACAAACGUACCUUUCUGCAGAUGCUCUAUGAUCCGGGCAAUCUCAUUUGGCCGUAAAUUGAAGAAAAUCCAGCGGCUAUAUGCCUUAUUCUCCUUGUUUUCGCCGGAUGGCAUGCUGUAACUCACGCGCGUGAAAGCCAAGAACAAAAGGGCAUUCCUGGCAUCGGUCAAUAUAUAUAUGUGGAAACGAUAUCUCCUCUAUAGAGGACAAGAAAUUUUGGGGCAAUCAGGCAAAAAGCGCACGAGAAAAUGAAGUACUUUCAAGGACUGCCAUAGAAUGGACAGAUUGAUGAGGACAUCAAUACAAUUGUUACACCCACAGCCCCUGCUGCUAUACAUACUGGACCAAUUACUAGAGCUCGUGCACGCCAACUAAAUUACCAGGUACUUUCGUUUCUUGGUAAUGAUUCUAAUGUUCAUGAGAAUAUGAUGCUGCCUAAAUUGGAUACAUUUGUUUUGCUUACAAAUGAAGGGCCUAGCUUGGAGAAGGAUGAACAUUGGAGCAAGAACAAGCAUGGAGAUGAUGGCAUGCGCAAGGGGAACAAGAACGGAGUUACAAGUGAUGAUUUCAGGACUUUGAAGCCACCAUAAUGGGUGCAUGAAGCCUUGGACGAAAUAUACAAGAUGCCACUUCAUAAAUUUCGUCCCGAGGCUAUUUUAGGUGCUGCGUCACCUUAUUAUUGGGCCAGGCCCAUGUAAUUUCGAAAUACAUAAGUAUAGGCUAUUUUUAGAGUCCGUAUGUGUGGGGAAACAAGAGAUAGGGUUGAUUUCNNNNNNNNNNUCUCAUGAACAUUAGAAUCAUUACCAAGAAACGAAAGUACCUGGUAAUUUAGUUGGCGUGCACGAGCUCUAGUAAUCGGUCCAGUAUGUAUAGCAGCAGGGACUGUGGGUGUAACAAUUGUAUUGAUUUACCAGGUACUUUCGUUUCUUGGUAAUGAUUCUAAUGUUCAUGAGAAUAUGAUGCUGCCUAAAUUGGAUACAUUUGUUUUGCUUACAAAUGAAGGGCCUAGCUUCGAGAAGGAUGAAUAUUGGAGCAAGAACAAGCAUGGAGAUGAUGGCAUGCGCAAGGGGAACAAGAACGGAGUUACAAGUGAUGAUUUCAGGACUUUGAAGCCACCAUAAUGGGUGCAUGAAGCCUUGGACGAAAUAUACAAGAUGCCACUUCAUAAAUUUCGUCCCGAGGCUAUUUUAGGUGCUGCGUCACCUUAUUAUUGGGCCAGACCCAUGUAAUUUCGAAAUACAUAAGUAUAGGCUAUUUUUAGAGUCCGUAUGUGUGGGGAAACAAGAGAUAGGGUUGAUUUCGGACCCCUCCACCAAGGGCCACGAAAUUCCCCCCUCUUCCUCCAUAUAUACAGCCCUUAGGGCAUCGUUUAGACUUUGGGUUUUGUUUAGAUUCAAAGUUCGCCAUAGCUGCAACUUCGCGUACUUCGUUUGUGUUCAACGACCAGACAAAGGCGUCACAGAACCCCACCUUGAUCAAUAAAGCUUUCAUCUUAUAUUCGCAAUAUCCAGAUUGCAAUCUCAGUUUCUUGCUUGUUCUUCGUUUGCUCGCAGGAAACAGACCCUCGUGGUCAGGUUGAUCGUGCUCCGGCGUGGUCAAUAACCUCUCGGAGUUGGUUUAGCGAUUGCUAAGGCGCGACGUCCUCGCACGUUCGUAGUCGGAUCGUCAAAGUCGACUUCCACCAAAGCGAUAUCCAUCAUCUCAUCGAAAGACGGGACACCCUCGCCUCUAUUAAGUGGUAUCAGAUUUCCAGGUUGCUCGGUGAGAUUUUACAGUUUUUCGUAGUUUAGAUCGAGUCUGUUCUUCAUACCUACAGUCCAAGAAAAAGCCAAAAAAAAUUAGGGUUAGUUCAUCAUAUCCGAACCAAUCUGAGCCUUUGCAUAAUCUUUUUAGGGUUUUGCUUUGUUGAAUUUGCGGUUGCAUCGUCGGUCUAGUUGCUGGUCUUAGAGUCUAGUCUUUUAGAGUUUCGAGUUCUAUUCACAAGUUGUCACGCUGCCGCCGCACCAUCAUCAUCGCCCCUGCCAUCUACCACCACCGCUCCGAAUCCGUAUCCAUAUACCACCACCAAUCCGUGUCCAUAUACCAACACCGAUCCAUAUCCAUAUACUACCACCGCUACCACCACCGCUGCCAUAUAUCACCACCAUAUAUCCACCACCAAUCCGAGUUCCUUGCUUAUUAGGGUUGUUUUCGAGAUCCAUCUAGUUUCCGAUUCGUGUUUCCUUGCUGGAGUAGGUUUCGGAAAAAAAAAAGAAGAGUCGGGUAGCCACGCUCCGUUUAGGCCCAAAUUUUUUCGAAAACGCAUUUUUCGAAAAAUUUUCUGGCUAUCCUAUUUUUAGGUGUUUCUGAGUGUUUUGAGACAGGUGCCAUUAUAGGAAGUUUUUUUUGACCCGUUUCCAGUUUUUGGGUCCGGGCAGUCAAAAAAAAAAAAAAUUGGUCGAAAAAAUUUCGUGCCCAUCCUGUCAGUUUGAGCUAAGAAGAGUUUUGAGACACUCGCCAUUAUAGUGAUUUUUCGCAAAAAAAAAANNNNNNNNNNNNNNNNNNNNNNNNNNNNNNNNNNNNNNNNNNNNNNNNNNNNNNNNNNNNNNNNAAAAAGAGCGCAAAAAAAAAAGCAGCGCAAAAAAAAGAGCGAAAAAAAAAAUUCAGAGUGUGCUUUUCCCUUGUUUACGUGCCGUGCCGUGAUUUUGUUGGUGUUCUAGGCUCGCGUCUCUAGCACAGUCUAGCCUAGGACCAGCACAGUACCGUCGUUGAGCGUUUAUUCAACUUUGCAUCUCUGAAUUGAUUAUUGAUGACCCUUUUUGCUACCAUACUAUAAGCCUUCCCAGCUCCACAUACAUCUACGUCGUGUGUUUGACUCUCCCUGGUAAUCGCUCUAUCCAAGCUUUGAGAGUUUUUGACUACAACGGUUGCCGAUCACCGCCUGCUGCUGGGUAAGAACUGGUAAGAAUUUGAGAUUUGCUUGACGGAUUUGUGAUACACCACCACCACUUCUUAGUAGUCUGUAGGAUCAUAUUCUUGUGUGUUUCUAUUGCUGCUAACCAUGCCAGGAUCACAAGCCGACGAGAUUGACUGGGAGAAUUUAUCGAACAAGGAGCUUCAUGAUAAGUUUCAGCAAAUGAUGACUGAACAGGUGCAAGAUGUGCUGAACAAUUUUGAAGAGGCCAUGGAGAAGAUCACUGGCCUUGAGAAGACGUUCGAAACAAAGCUCGAUAACAAGUUUAAUGAAUUGCUCGCGCGUCUUCCACCACCACCACCCGCUGCACCUAACGCACCUCUCCAACAACAACAACAACGACUACCUCCACGUCGCGAAGCAGACCUCCGCCGAGCAAGCCGUGUUCCUCUUGUGUUUGGCCAAACUGUUGGUGCUGCUGUUGAUACUUCUGUGGCUCCUGCUGCUGAUGCGGAGGAGGAUGAUUAUGUGGGAGAUUAUGAGGAUGAGGUUGAUCAAAAUCAACACUACAUGCAGCCACCUGUACCACCACCAGCAGGUCGACCUCAGGUAUAUAUUCGUAAUGGUAGGCCUGCACCACCACCUCAGGUACGAGAUGAUGUCCAUAUUCCUAAACUGAAAUUGAAUAUUCCACCAUUUGAGGGUAGAUAUGUUCCUAAUAUAUAUCUUACUUGGGAGUUAGAAACUGAACAACGAUUUACAUGUUUACAAUAUCCUGAGGAGAGACGAGUUGCUGCUGCCGUUUGUGCUUUCACUAGUUUUGCAUGUGUAUGGUGGUCUGAACAUUGUAGAUUAUAUCCUAUUCCAACUACUUGGGCUGCUUUGAAAACUGCUAUGCGUACGCGUUGGGUUCCACCAUAUUAUCAACGUGAAUUGCUUCAAAAAUUGCAGCGUUUAAGACAAGGGAAAAAUUCUGUAGAAGAAUAUUAUCAGGAAUUACAAACUGGCAUGAUUAGAUGUGGUAUUGUUGAGGAGAAUGAAGCUAUGCUUGCACGUUUUCUGGGUGGAUUAAAUAGAGAGAUUCAGACCAUUCUAGACUAUAAGGAGUAUACUAAUAUCACUCGUUUAUUCCAUCUUGCUUGUAAAGCUGAACAUGAAGUGCAGGAUCGACAAGCAUUGGGGCGAACUAACUUUUCUGCAGGCCGACCUUCAUCAUGGACACCACGUGCAUCUUCUACUUCAACUGCACCAGCACCUCCAUCAGGUGCCACCUCCAGCCGUGAUACAAGAAAACAGGCACAACCACCAUUAUCUACCAAGAGCGCACCUGCGGGGCCUCCACAGUGUUCUUCUUCUUCCAUAUCAUCAACAGGGCACACAAGUGAUAUUAUUUGUCGUCGUUGUAAGGGAGGAGGUCAUUAUGCGAGAGAAUGCAAAUCUCCGCGUGUGAUGAUUGCUAUCGCGGAUGGUGGAUAUGAGUCCGCUAGUGACUAUGAUGAGGAGACAUUGGCUCUUAUUACACGUGAAGAACAUGGUGGAGAUGAUUCUGAUCAUGAGACGCAAUACAUGGCUCCUGAAGACGCUGACAGGUAUGAAUGUUUAGUUGCUCAACGUGUUUUGAGUGUGCAGGUCACACAAGCUGAGCAAAAUCAGAGGCACAAUUUGUUCCAUACCAAGGGAGUUGUGAAGGAACGUUCUGUGCGCGUCAUAAUAGACGGAGGGAGCUGCAACAACUUGGCUAGCAUGGAGAUGGUGGAGAAGCUUUCUCUCACCACAAGACCUGAUGAGGACAUCAAUACAAUUGUUACACCCACAGCCCCUGCUACUAUACAUACUGGACCAAUUACUAGAGCUCGUGCACGCCAACUAAAUUACCAGGUACUUUCGUUUCUUGGUAAUGAUUCUAAUGUUCAUGAGAAUAUGAUGCUGCCUAAAUUGGAUACAUUUGUUUUGUUUACAAAUGAAGGGCCUAGCUUGGAGAAGGAUGAACAUUGGAGCAAGAACAAGCAUGGAGAUGAUGGCAUGCGCAAGGGGAACAAGAACGGAGUUACAAGUGAUGAUUUCAGGACUUUGAAGCCACCAUAAUGGGUGCAUGAAGCCUUGGACGAAAUAUACAAGAUGCCACUUCAUAAAUUUCGUCCCGAGGCUAUUUUAGGUGCUGCGUCACCUUAUUAUUGGGCCAGGCCCAUGUAAUUUCGAAAUACAUAAGUAUAGGCUAUUUUUAGAGUCCGUAUGUGUGGGGAAACAAGAGAUAGGGUUGAUUUCGGACCCCUCCACCAAGGGCCACGAAAUUCCCCCCUCUUCCUCCAUAUAUACAGCCCUUAGGGCAUCGUUUAGACUUUGGGUUUUGUUUAGAUUAAAAGUUCGCCAUAGCUGCAACUUCGCGUGCUUCGUUUGUGUUCAACGACCAGACAAAGGUGUCACAGAACCCCACCUUGAUCAAUAAAGCUUUCAUCUUAUAUUCGCAAUAUCCAGAUUGCAAUCUCAGUUUCUUGCUUGUUCUUCGGUUGCUCGCAGGAAACAGACCCUCGUGGUCAGGUUGAUCGUGCUCCGGCGUGGUCAAUAACCUCUCGGAGUUGGUUUAGCGAUUGCUAAGGCGCGACGUCCUCGCACGUUCGUAGUCGGAUCGUCAAAGUCGACUUCCACCAAAGCGAUAUCCAUCAUCUCAUCGAAAGACGGGACACCUUUGCCUCUAUCACAGAUGUUCACUAAAAUGGUCAUAAUUUUGUCAUUUGGAGUCCGUGUCGGACCCAUAAGUACUCAAACUGCUCGCGGUGAGCGCGCGAAUCCAGAAAAUACUCCCCGCUUCCACCAGGAGGCCUGGAGUGCCCUCAAAUACGGCCUUAAGUAGGACUUUUUGGCCCUGAAAGUCAAAGAACACCAUUCGUCGUUGUUUUUCAGACAAGUUUCUGAACCCAUUGGCACUUCCUUUUGAAGGAAAUUCAAGAGAUUAUGUUGCUUAUAGACAUUAGCCCCCCUGAUAGGGACAAACGUACCUUUCUGCAGAUGCUCUAUGAUCCGGGCAAUCUCAUUUGGUCGUAAAUUGAAGAAAAUCCAGCGGCUAUAUGCCUUAUUCUCCUUGUUUUUGCCGGAUGGCAUGCUGUAACUCACGCGCGUGAAAGCCAAGAACAAAAGGGCAUUCCUGGCAUCGGUCAAUAUAUAUGUGGAAACGAUAUCUCCUCUAUAGAGGACAAGAAAUUUUGGGGCAAUCGGGCAAAAAGCGCACGAGAAAAUGAAGUACUUUCAAGGACUGCCAUAGAAUCGAUAGAUGUUCACUAAAAUGGUCAUAAUUUUGUCAUUCGGAGUCCGUGUCAGACCCAUAAGUACUCAA